CAUGGCCCUUACGACCAGGGCUACACACGUGCUACAAUGGCAUAUACAAAGAGAAGCGACCUCGCGAGAGCAAGCGGACCUCAUAAAGUAUGUCGUAGUCCGGAUUGGAGUCUGCAACUCGACUNCCAUGAAGUNCGGAAUCGCUAGUAAUCGUAGAUCAGAAUGCUACGGUGAAUACGUUCCCGGGCCUUGUACACACCGCCCGUCACACCAUGGGAGUGGGUUGNCAAAAGAAGUAGGUAGCUUAACCUUCGGGAGGGCGNCUUACCANCUUUGUGAUUCAUGACUGGGGUGAAGUCGUAACAAGGUAACCGUAGGGGAACCUGCGGUUGGAUCACCUCCUUACCUUAAAGAA
Molecule: ribosomal RNA, 355 nt
Filed under: Klebsiella pneumoniae
Lineage: Bacteria; Pseudomonadati; Pseudomonadota; Gammaproteobacteria; Enterobacterales; Enterobacteriaceae
Description: bacterial SSU rRNA
Rfam family: Bacterial small subunit ribosomal RNA
Source: RNAcentral